GGGCGUCCAUGACCCCCAGCACCAGCCGCGCCACACCAAACACCCCACUACCCCCGGGCCCAGGAUGUACAUAUCAACCAUCACCUUGAUGUAAGUCGAGUCGUAGGCUGAAUUGCUUGUAAGUUAAAGUUAUUUGCUGGUUUAGAGACCAAGCAGUAUUUCUGUUGCAUCCUUUGCAUGGGUGAACUUACUUUUUAAUGUAAUUGGAGUUGCUUGGCCACUGUGAGCUUGCAUGACCUGGAAUCAAGCCUCCACCUAUUGUCUUGAGGGUCUAAUUUUGAUUCAUCGGUUGUCCUGCUAAUAAUUUUGAUUAGAUGAAUCAAAAUUAGACCCUCAAGACAA
Molecule: unclassified non-coding RNA, 342 nt
Filed under: Hevea brasiliensis (rubber tree)
Lineage: Eukaryota; Viridiplantae; Streptophyta; Magnoliopsida; Malpighiales; Euphorbiaceae
Source: RNAcentral